This 255-nucleotide ribosomal RNA is filed under the name uncultured bacterium. Its description in RNAcentral is "partial 16S ribosomal RNA". It matches the Rfam family "Bacterial small subunit ribosomal RNA", at positions 99 to 354 of the family's 1533-position model. The record is from RNAcentral.
CGAACGGGUAGAGUAACACGUGAGCAACCUGCCCUAUACAACGGGAUAACACAGAGAAAUUUGUGCUAAUACGGUAUAAGACCACAGUAUCGCAUGAUACAGGGUAAAAGAUUUAUCGGUAUAGGAUGGGCUCGCGACCCAUUAGCUAGUUGGUGAGGUAACGGCCCACCAAGGNAACGAUGGGUAGCCGACCUGAGAGGGUGAUCGGCCACACUGGGACUGAGACACGGCCCAGACUCCUACGGGAGGCAGCAG